AGACUCCUACGGGAGGCAGCAGUAGGGAAUUUUGCGCAAUGGACGAAAGUCUGACGCAGCAAUACCGUGUGAGGGAUGAAGCAUUUCGGUGUGUAAACCUCUGUCGAUGAUGAAUAAAGCAUUCGAGAGUGGAAAGCUCGGGUGUUGAAGGUAAUCAUGAAGGAAGCACCGGCUAACUCUGUGCCAGCAGCCGCGGUAAUACAGGGGGUGCAAGCGUUGUUCGGAAUUACUGGGCGUAAAGGGAGCGUAGGCGGAUCUACAAGACAGUGGUUAAAUCUCCGGGCUCAACCUGGAACUUGCCUUUGUGACUGUGGAUCUUGAGUAUGGUAGAGGUUGGCGGAAUUUCCGGUGUAGCGGUGGAAUGCGUAGAGAUCGGAAAGAACACCAGAGGCGAAGGCGGCCAACUGGACCAAUACUGACGCUGAGGCUCGAAAGCGUGGGGAGCAAACAGGAUUAGAUACCCUGGUAGUCCACGCUGUAAACGAUGAACACUAGAUGUCGGGA
This 504-nucleotide ribosomal RNA is filed under the name uncultured bacterium. RNAcentral describes it as "bacterial SSU rRNA". It matches the Rfam family "Bacterial small subunit ribosomal RNA", at positions 333 to 828 of the family's 1533-position model. The record is from RNAcentral.